AAAGAUUGGGUAUGUUGUUCCACUUGACAAGAAUUCUCCCCUAUCAUUAUUCCUUGCAACUCUUGUUCUACAGGACUCAACAUGAGACUAAAAAUAGAAUGAGCAAAAUAUAGAUGUUUCCUUAGUUAGGAAUGCUUCACAGAUGCUGCCCUCAAUCCGAGAUCAUUAAUCACUACAAGAGAGGCGGAGAAUAGCGGCCAAACAUUGCCAGCCUUUUACCCAACCGCUGCAAAUUUCAGGGAUACCAGCAAUUGAUUUUCAUGUGCCGCUAAUCAGGAUCUUUAUUAUCAUCAUUUAUCCUAUCUCUUUUUUAUGAGUUUAUCUUAUAACUAAUAAUUCUCCUAAAGUUGCAGAAACCGGCGAACUGAGAUUGGUAGCGCACGAAGCCCUGACAUUGCUGCUCCACUGUGCGCCACUGCUGCCCAGCUAUCCUCCUCUCUCCGGCGUCGACCUUUCGCUCUCCUCCACAGUGCGUGAAACCCCUACUCCCUCCUCCUCCAGGGUGCACGAAAUCCCUAAUCUCUGCUCCACCCUGCACCUCUAUGGGGUUUGGGAGUCGCGCGGCUGCCAUCCAUCCUUCUCUUCCCGGCGUCGACCUUUCGGAUCUCCUCCACAGUGCGCGAAACCCCUGCUUCCUCCUCCACGAUUUGCUACACUUCUUUGGCAAUUAAAGCAAGUGUUUCAGAGGGAGCUUCGAGAGGUUCUCCAGGACCUUCAGAAUAAGUCCUUGCUCCAAGACUGGCACCAACCGCAAUUUUGGAAGCAACUUAAAACUCUCGCCAAUUCAGGUAGUUUUUACAUUGUAGAGAUUAACCUAUAUACAACUUUCAUUUGGUAACUAACUUUGUCAAUUUCAUAAUAAAAUAUAUGCCAUUAUGGUUAGAGUCAUACCUUGCCUUGAGAUAAGGCCUGGACAGUUUUUGUAAGAGUUUGG
Non-coding RNA from Arachis ipaensis, 934 nucleotides. NCBI's taxonomy places the organism in Eukaryota, Viridiplantae, Streptophyta, Magnoliopsida, Fabales, Fabaceae. The record is from RefSeq and is a predicted model, not a curated record.